Molecule: long non-coding RNA, 395 nt
Filed under: Cricetulus griseus (Chinese hamster)
Lineage: Eukaryota; Metazoa; Chordata; Mammalia; Rodentia; Cricetidae
Description: lncRNA (ENSCGRG00015036548.1)
Source: RNAcentral
GUCAACUCAUGUGUUCUUGUGUAGCAAUCGUGUUCUUGAGAGAUCAUGCUGCAGUUCCCCUGCCAUGCCCAGAAGACACUGUCUUGAAGCAGAUGUUCAUUCAGGAAAAGUAUGGAUUUUACCUUGGAGCAAAUCAUUUCCCCUGUUUCCUGAGCCUGAAUUUGAUCCUGAUCCUGGCCUAGCCCAUGGACUUUCCAGGCUGGUGGGAAGGAAGGGCCUUAGAGGAUCAAAAGGGGUUAUAUGGCAGCUGCCACUUCAUCCUGCACUCAGGAGGAAGAUACAUGAAAGCCACUUCUUACUCCUCCUAAACGCUCUAUCCUACUCUAAGAGGGCAGUGAUGCCUGGCUCUGCAGGCAUUUUGAGAUCACAAGCUGUGCACUCACAGAGAAGAGCAG